RNAcentral lists this ribosomal RNA (253 nucleotides) under uncultured bacterium. Its description in RNAcentral is "partial 16S ribosomal RNA". It matches the Rfam family "Bacterial small subunit ribosomal RNA", at positions 524 to 776 of the family's 1533-position model. The record is from RNAcentral.
UACGGGGGGGGCAAGCGUUGUUCGGAAUUACUGGGCGUAAAGCGUGCGCAGGCGGUUUUGUAAGUUUGUCGUGAAAGCCCCGGGCUCAACCUGGGAAUUGCGAUGGAGACUGCAAGGCUUGAAUCUGGCAGAGGGGGGUAGAAUUCCACGUGUAGCAGUGAAAUGCGUAGAGAUGCGGAGGAACACCGAUGGCGAAGGCAGCCCCCUGGGUCAAGAUUGACGCUCAUGCACGAAAGCGUGGGGAGCAAACAGG